RNAcentral lists this ribosomal RNA (483 nucleotides) under uncultured bacterium. RNAcentral describes it as "bacterial SSU rRNA". It matches the Rfam family "Bacterial small subunit ribosomal RNA", at positions 28 to 508 of the family's 1533-position model. The record is from RNAcentral.
GACGAACGCUGGCGGCGUGCCUAAUACAUGCAAGUCGAGCGAGGCCUUCGGGCCUAGCGGCGGACGGGUGAGUAACACGUAGGCAACCUGCCUGUAAGCUUGGGAUAACUAUCGGAAACGAUAGCUAAUACCGAAUAGGUGUGAGGAACGCAUGUUCUUCACUGGAAAGGCGGAGCAAUCUGCCACUUACGGAUGGGCCUGCGGCGCAUUAGCUAGUUGGCGGGGUAACAGCCCACCAAGGCGACGAUGCGUAGCCGACCUGAGAGGGUGAUCGGCCACACUGGGACUGAGACACGGCCCAGACUCCUACGGGAGGCAGCAGUAGGGAAUCUUCCGCAAUGGGCGAAAGCCUGACGGAGCAACGCCGCGUGAGUGAUGAAGGUCUUCGGAUCGUAAAGCUCUGUUGCCAAAGAAGAACGGCGUGGAGAGUAACUGCUCUGAGUUUGACGGUAUUUGAGAAGAAAGCCCCGGCUAACUACGUGC